GAACUGCGAUAAGUAGUGUGAAUUGCAGAAUUCAGUGAAUCAUCGAGUCUUUGAACGCACAUUGCGCCCCCUGGUAUUCCGGGGGGCAUGCCUGUCCGAGCGUCAUUGCUACCCUCACGCCCGGCUAGUGAGUUGGGCCGCCGUCCCCCCUGCUCCGGGGGGGACGGGCCCGAAAGGCAGCGGCGGCACCGCGUCCGAUCCUCGAGCGUAUGGGGCUCUGUCACCCGCUCUGCAGGACCGGCCGGCGCCAGCCUGGCAACCUCUUCUUACCAGGUUGACCUCGGAUCAGGUAGGGAUACCCGCUGAACUUAA
RNAcentral lists this unclassified non-coding RNA (312 nucleotides) under uncultured Eurotiales. Its description in RNAcentral is "sequence contains ITS1". The stretch from base 1 to 105 matches the Rfam family "5.8S ribosomal RNA", at positions 50 to 154 of the family's 154-position model. Lineage: Eukaryota; Fungi; Ascomycota; Eurotiomycetes; Eurotiales. The record is from RNAcentral.